AAUGAACGCUGGCGGCGUGCCUAACACAUGCAAGUCGGAUGUGCCCGCAAGGGUGCAUGGCAGACGGGUGAGUAACGCGUGGGGAAUCUACCUUUUAGUGGGGAAUAACGCUCCGAAAGGAGUGGUAAUACCGCAUGUGACCAUUGGCUGGGAUGCUGAUGGUGAAACCCUGGGACCUUCGGGCCAGGGGCUAGAAGAGGAUCCUGCGUCUGAUUAGCUAGUUGGCGGGGUAACGGCCCACCAAGGCGACGAUCAGUAGCCGGCCUGAGAGGGUGUACGGUCACACUGGAACUUAGACACGGUCCAGACUCCUACGGGAGGCAGCAGUGAGGAAUCUUGCGCAAUGGGCGAAAGCCUGACGCAGCGACGCCGCGUGGAGGAUGACGGUUUUCGGAUUGUAAACUCCUGUUAAGCGGGAAGAAAGCCUUGUUUCUAAUACAAGCAAGGUAUGACGGUACCGCUAGAGAAAGCACCGGCUAACUUCGUGCCAGCAGC
This 495-nucleotide ribosomal RNA is filed under the name uncultured bacterium. Its description in RNAcentral is "bacterial SSU rRNA". It matches the Rfam family "Bacterial small subunit ribosomal RNA", at positions 29 to 515 of the family's 1533-position model. The record is from RNAcentral.